GAUGAACGCUGGCGGCGUGCUUAACACAUGCAAGUCGAACGAGAAAUGUAGACGGAAACCUUCGGGCGGAAGCCUUCAUUUCGAGUGGCGGACGGGUGAGUAACGCGUGGGUAACCUGCCUCAUACUGGGGGAUAACAGUUGGAAACGACUGUUAAUACCGCAUAAGACCACAGCAUCGCAUGAUGCGGGGGUAAAAACUCCGGUGGUAUGAGAUGGACCCGCGUUCGAUUAGCCAGUUGGCGGGGUAACGGCCCACCAAAGCGACGAUCGAUAGCCGAUCUGAGAGGAUGACCGGCCACAUUGGGACUGAGACACGGCCCAAACUCCUACGGGAGGCAGCAGUGGGGAAUAUUGCACAAUGGGGGAAACCCUGAUGCAGCGACGCCGCGUGAGUGAAGAAGUACUUCGGUAUGUAAAGCUCUAUCAGCAGGGAAGAAAAUGACGGUACCUGAGUAAGAAGCCCCGGCUAACUACGUG
Molecule: ribosomal RNA, 478 nt
Filed under: uncultured bacterium
Lineage: Bacteria
Description: partial 16S ribosomal RNA
Rfam family: Bacterial small subunit ribosomal RNA
Source: RNAcentral